Notothenia coriiceps (black rockcod) is the source of this 577-nucleotide long non-coding RNA. RefSeq lists it as uncharacterized. The record is from RefSeq and is a predicted model, not a curated record. The transcript has 3 exons. NCBI's taxonomy places the organism in Eukaryota, Metazoa, Chordata, Actinopteri, Perciformes, Nototheniidae.
ACACACAGACAGAGCGCACCCCAACUGCGUGGAUGGACGGAGCAACUUAAGGACUUCCCUUCCUCACUCUUAUGGCACAUUUAUGAUUGGAUGCCUACCGGCUUGGCUUUUCUUCUCAUUUAUCAAGAGCUUUUUACAACGUGCCAACACUGAGCGGAUAUUGCUUUUGCGCAUCAAGGGAGCUGGAACAAGAGGGACUCUUCAGUGAACAUCAGGGAGCAACAGAAGUACAAGAGCCACAAAAACCAAGAUCUGUCUGCUGGAAUGUUCACGAUGCUCAACAAUGAAAUGAAGACCUAAAGCCAGAUAACCCAUGUUUGACCCACCGAACACAGACUGAAGAGUUGCAGACACCAGUGUUGUGUGCGUUGCUGGCCCUGUGUGUGUGUUUACAUACUGUGCUGAGAUUAAAGCACUUUGGAGUCAGGAACUUAUGUUCAAGAGCAUGGUCCAACUGUCCACCUCAGUCUACCUGCUGGGAGGCCUUUUGGGUAUGUCUUAUGCUGCAGCCACACGAGAAGGGCAACCAUGGCAACCAUGCGCGGGAAGUCUUCUUCGCUGCUUUUGGUGUAUUUUG